Molecule: ribosomal RNA, 426 nt
Filed under: uncultured bacterium
Lineage: Bacteria
Description: bacterial SSU rRNA
Rfam family: Bacterial small subunit ribosomal RNA
Source: RNAcentral
GAGGAAUAUUGCGCAAUGGGGGAAACCCUGACGCAGCGACGCCGCGUGAGUGAGGAAGGCCUUCGGGUCGUAAAGCUCUGUCAAAGGGAAAGAAGUGCAUGGUGGCUAAUACCUGCCAUGUUUGACGGUACCCUUAAAGGAAGCACCGGCUAACUCCGUGCCAGCAGCCGCGGUAAUACGGAGGGUGCAAGCGUUGUUCGGAAUCACUGGGCGUAAAGGGCGCGCAGGCGGUUUGGUAAGUCAGAUGUGAAAGCCCACGGCUUAACCGUGGAAGUGCAUUUGAUACUGCCAGACUUGAGUACCAGAGGGGAAAGUGGAAUUCCCGGUGUAGAGGUGAAAUUCGUAGAUAUCGGGAGGAAUACCGGUGGCGAAGGCGACUUUCUGGCUGAGUACUGACGCUGAGGCGCGAAAGCGUGGGGAGCAAAC